CCGGAGUUGAGAGACUGAUCGGCCACAUUGGGACUGAGACACGGCCCAAACUCCUACGGGAGGCAGCAGUAGGGAAUCUUCCACAAUGGACGCAAGUCUGAUGGAGCAACGCCGCGUGAGUGAAGAAGGUUUUCGGAUCGUAAAGCUCUGUUGUUGGUGAAGAAGGAUAGAGGUAGUAACUGGCCUUUAUUUGACGGUAAUCAACCAGAAAGUCACGGCUAACUACGUGCCAGCAGCCGCGGUAAUACGUAGGUGGCAAGCGUUGUCCGGAAUUAUUGGGCGUAAAGCGCGCGCAGGCGGUCCCUUAAGUCUGAUGUGAAAGCCCACGGCUCAACCGUGGAGGGUCAUUGGAAACUGGGGGACUUGAGUGCAGAAGAGGAAAGUGGAAUUCCACGUGUAGCGGUGAAAUGCGUAGAGAUGUGGAGGAACACCAGUGGCGAAGGCGACUUUCUGGUCUGUAACUGACGCUGAGGCGCGAAAGCGUGGGGAGCAAACAGGAUUAGAUACCCUGGUAGUCCACGCCGUAAACGAUGAGUGCU
This 539-nucleotide ribosomal RNA is filed under the name uncultured bacterium. RNAcentral describes it as "bacterial SSU rRNA". It matches the Rfam family "Bacterial small subunit ribosomal RNA", at positions 287 to 817 of the family's 1533-position model. The record is from RNAcentral.